This 460-nucleotide ribosomal RNA is filed under the name uncultured bacterium. RNAcentral's name for it is "partial 16S ribosomal RNA". It matches the Rfam family "Bacterial small subunit ribosomal RNA", at positions 338 to 795 of the family's 1533-position model. The record is from RNAcentral.
CCUACGGGAGGCAGCAGUGAGGAAUAUUGGUCAAUGGACGAGAGUCUGAACCAGCCAAGUAGCGUGAAGGAUGACUGCUCUAUGGUUUGUAAAUUUCUUUUAUAUGGGAAUAAAAUGUUCCACGUGUGGGGUUUUGUAUGUACCAUUUGAAUAAGGAUCGGCUAACUCAGGGCCAGUAGCCGCGGUAAUCGGGAGGAUCCGAGCGUUAUCCGGAUUUAUUGGGUUUAAAGGGAGCGUAGGUGGAAUGUUAAGUCAGUGGUGAAAGUUUGCGGCUCAACCGGAAAACUGCAGUUGAAACUGGCUGUCUUGAGUACAGUAGAGGUUGGCGGAAUUCGGGGUGUAGCGGUGAAAUGCUUAGAUAUCACGAAGAACUCCGAUUGCGAAGGCAGCUCACUGGACUGCAACUGACACUGAGGCUCGAAAGUGUGGGUAUCAAACAGGAUUAGAUACCCGAGUAGUC